GAGAAAACCUCAUCUUGCAUAGCUUUUAAACUGGGGUCUUGCACAGCAUAGAAGGCCUGCUUACUUCAAGAACUGAAAAUCUGGAGGAUGGAUUGCUGCGUCUGGGAGUGGAAUAAUGCAGAAGAAUAAGAAAUGCUAGGGAACUUUGUGGGGGUUACUGGCAUGCACG
Tinamus guttatus (white-throated tinamou) is the source of this 169-nucleotide non-coding RNA. NCBI's taxonomy places the organism in Eukaryota, Metazoa, Chordata, Aves, Tinamiformes, Tinamidae. The record is from RefSeq and is a predicted model, not a curated record.